AACCUCUGCAAUGUGGAGUUCAAGCUGGCCUCCAAGGUUUUGGCUAACCAUCUCAAACAAAUUCUUCCGGAAAUUAUAUCACCUAACCAAAGUGCCUUUGUACCGGGAAGGUUAAUCACGGACAAUAUACUGCUAGCUUAUGAAUGUACACACUUCAUGCAGAACAAACGGCGAGGCAAAGAGGGAUAUGCGGCGGUUAAACUUGAUAUGAGCAAAGCGUAUGAUCGUGUUGAGUGGACCUCUCUGGAGAAGAUGAUGCGAAAGCUAGGGUUUGAUGAGAGGUGGAUUGGCAGAAUUAUGUUAUGUGUGUCCUCAGUUUCUUACAGGGUGAAGGUGAAUGGAGACUACACGGAUGUGAUCGUGCCACAACGGGGGCUGAGGCAAGGUGACCCGUUGUCACCGUAUCUCUUCCUUAUUUGCGCAGAAGGGUUCUCAUCUCUGCUGAAUGCGGCGGAAGCAUAUGGAACGUUGAGCGGGCUGUGUAUUUGCAAUGCGGCCCCGAGCAUUAAUCAUCUAUUAUUUGCGGAUGACUCACUAGUACUCAUUAAAGCUACACGUGAUAGUGCUAUGACUCUGCAGAAUGUGCUACAACUGUAUGAGAUUUUCUCGGGACAGAUUGUAAACUAUGAUAAAUCGUCUGUCAUGUUCAGCAAGAAUACCGGGAGUCAGAGAAGGCAU
This 678-nucleotide ribosomal RNA is filed under the name Triticum aestivum (bread wheat). RNAcentral describes it as "partial small subunit ribosomal RNA". The record is from RNAcentral. Lineage: Eukaryota; Viridiplantae; Streptophyta; Magnoliopsida; Poales; Poaceae.